UAUUGCUCGCCAGAUCAGUAUCAACAAGCCGUUUUGUUUAUUUGUUUCGGGGUAACAAAAUCAUAAGCGAGCCUCUUUGGGCUUCCGUAACUGAUGAGACGACGUAAUAACCGAUCAAGAGAAGCCCGAGAGAAGCCCAUCAGUCGAUCUCUUCUUAUCCCUGGUUGCAGGCAAUGCCACCAUUCACUACCCAUGCACCAUCGAUGCCCACAGCCGACCGCUUCGGCGUUCUUCCACGCGGGCGAGCACAGGCACCCCAUGCCGCCGCAUCCGCCUCUCCUUCUCCUGGCGUGGAGGACCUCAACUGGGCCACCUCCAUCGCGACAUCGAUCUGGCUGGCCGCCGCCUCACCUGCGUCUCGAUCUAAUCUAGGGAGAGAUGGUGAUGGGUGGGGGCAGCGGAGGUAGGGGAGAGGGGGAGGGAGAUCCGGUGCAGAACUACCAUGCUGCAGACUUGAGGCGCCCAACCCCGGCCACCACGACGAGUCGACGACUCUGCCUCCUGAAGCACGACCUCCGCCACCUCCCUGCUGCACGGAAGCGACGAUGCCGCCGCCUCUCAACAAUCGACUUCCCGUGCUCCCGCAAAAAAACCCCUUCAGAUAGUGGAGUGGCAUCGGUCCCAUAGUUUUCAACAUCAGCGUUACUAAUCCAGCAGAGCUCCUGAUUCCAUGGCGUGCCUUAGUCUUUUGGCGGGCAUAUUAAAAGUUCAGGGAUCUUUUAUUCCAUUUCAAUUUGCUUUGGAGAUUUUCUAUCGGCUCAAGUACUCAUGUCAAGGAAUAUAGCUAUAUUUUCCUUGGAAUUUUCUUUUGCCCUGCAAUGCUAAUGGAGAAUAGGUAACCAAAUUAUUGGAGGGAUAGAGAUUGUUAAAGAAUAGAUAAACAAACUAUUUGCCAUGGAAAUUGCUAUUCAGAGACUUGGUGCAUUUGGGAAGUAUGUAAUGACCAAGUCUUUGAUAAUGUACUUCCAAAUUUUGGUUGGUGCAAAAUUCCCGUUAUUAGCACCUACACAUAGAAUUGUACUGGACAGUGAAAAGUAAAUUUCUCUUUCCCCUUGAACUCAUAACAUUAUUCCAUGUGA
Molecule: non-coding RNA, 1079 nt
Organism: Aegilops tauschii subsp. strangulata
Lineage: Eukaryota; Viridiplantae; Streptophyta; Magnoliopsida; Poales; Poaceae
Source: RefSeq, a predicted model, not a curated record